UAGCCUAAGACUGGUUUUAUAAUAACAGUAGGCCAUUAUUCAUAUUAGCAUUAUCAUUAUAGUCAUGAAUACAGUCUUCUCUUGACUAUAGGGAACACAGUGCUUUUAGAUUUCCUAGCAUCCAUUUAGCUUCCAUUUUAAAAAUAGAACAACACUAAGAACUUCUAUAUUAUAUGCACUAUGAAGCCAUAUAUUGUAGCUCAUUAAUUUAUUUGGUAAUAAAGUGCUAAUUAGUGAUAUAACACUGACUCAAACAAGUUAGCUGAAUGGUUUUAAUAAUCAUAGAACACACCCUGAAUCUCCAUCAGACUUAUUUUAUUCAUUCAGUUGGUCAAAAGAAGAAAUAGAACAAAUGUGAUGAAUGAAAACACAUCCAUAAAUUAUACUAGAAAAAAUAGCUCAAAAUAUAUGUCUAGCAGAGUUAUUCAGUGCUGUUAACUCCAACUUCCUUAUUAGCAUUUCAUUACUACAUAAUACAGUUGAAUUCAAUCCUCGAGCUGGUUUUGCUUUAUUUGAUGGUUAUAUCAGGGAUACAUAUUCUAGUGCAUCCAAUAGGAAGCCACAUUAGCACAUUGGACCUUGAUGAACUUAAUCUAAAAUUAUAAUCUUCAAUAACCUUGUAAUACUACAUAGAAUAUAACUGAGCCAAUAAAACAUACUUAUUUUUGUUUACCUUUCAAUUUACACAUAAGUUAAAUCUACAUUUUAUCUAAUUAAAACCAGAUUGUUGGACUCUCAAAUGCCUUGAGAAAUCUAUCACUUAUUGAAGUGCAUGGCACUUUUAAAACAUAAAUGAAAACUUCAGAGAAUUACAAUUUAUAUUACACAAAUACAACUUCUGUCAAUUCUGUCACAGUCUAAACAUAACCAGCUGCCUCUGCAAUGAUAUCAAGUGGCAAUUAAAAUAGCACCAGUAAUGUUACACUACAGUGAGGUGCAGAAAAUAUUUUGUCUGGUAAAAGCAAGAAUUAUAUUUAGAUGGUUGAGAUUCAUGUUCCAUAUUAAAAGAACAAAUGUUCUGAAAGAUUAGUCUUUGGUGCCAUCAUGUCUAUUUGUGCAUAAUCUUGGACACAGGGUGGCUUGCAUGAGCCAGAUAUCUGUCUUGUUCAACUUUAGUCCGCUAAGCCGUGGUCUCCAAGUAUCUUCUGCAGACCAUUAGUUCAAUGAAAUACUAAUAGGAAUUUUGUCAAAAAAUAAGUUCUAUGAUCACAUAGGAUUUGGAAAUGCUAUGUUAAGCUUGCACAUUUUUCUCUCCAAUGAAUUGUCAACUCUUUAAUGUACUCACAUGCAUUAUGGAUUUUUUAGAGAAAAUGCAUAACUUCCCCCAAAUUAUUUAAUUAUAGAACACAUGCCAGAAUAACCAUUAACUUUUAGAUAAAAUAUAUGUUUGGGACAAGCAAAGUUGGAAAAAAUUGUUUUGUUAUCUGAUAUUUGCUUAAGGCAUCAAAGAAGUUAACACCAGG
RNAcentral lists this long non-coding RNA (1463 nucleotides) under Homo sapiens (human). Its description in RNAcentral is "long non-coding RNA NONHSAT249473". Lineage: Eukaryota; Metazoa; Chordata; Mammalia; Primates; Hominidae. The record is from RNAcentral.